CUCAACCCGUGCACACGGCUAACGGUGCAAGCAGCCCUUCCCUUCAGGUACUUCAGGAUCCUGUCGUCCCCAGCACUACCAGGUCCUCCGAAGACCACCCUCUUCUUUGCUUCUUCCAUCCCGCACACUUGACCAUACUUCAGAGCUCACUCAAGCGCCUGGAACACACACAGUCCACUCAUAUUUCUCUUGCUCUUUUCUCUCCCCUGUUCUUCAGUACGACUAUGUCCAGAAGCCAGCAGAUCAACGAUAGCGCCGCCGAGGCCAUGCGCCGCGCCGACGACGCGGCUGCGGAGUCCCCGAGGGAGGGGCCCCAUCCUGAAUCUGGCGCGACUCAGCAGCAGCAGCAGGAAGAGGCCGCCGCCGAGGCCAUGCGCCGCGCGGAUGUGGCCUACACGAUGGAUGAUGAUGAUAUGUAGAGCAGAAGGAGAGAGAGCGUGAGGUGGUGGUGACGGUGUUCGUGGGCGGCGGCGACGGAUUACUCGGGCUGGACAAUCAUGAAGAGUGGCUCGAACACUCACACACGCACCCGGACUCCCCCUACCGCCGAGGGUUCUCCAAGCACCUCCCGCUCUCUGUCCCUCUACCUCAUUCACGUGGGCCUCUCUCCUUACUUCCGCCUUCUGCACUCUGCUGGACAGCACUUGUAUUCCACUUAUGUCAAGGGAUGCGACUUCACUGGACAUGAGCUGACGACGACGACGGUGGUGGGGAGGGGGGGGGGCGAUGGGUAACAUCGUACGUCCCAGUUGCAGUACGACGUCAUGCGUAUAUGUACCAACGUAUAGUUGUGACUUCCAUUAUUUUCUUCCUCUUAUUAUCAAUGCUCCGUAUUUGUGAUCUUUAUCUGCUUCGGGCUUUUUACUGAUCCUCUCCUUCCACGCCUCUGUGUAUCGGUGUCUGUGCGUGGGCCUCCUCUGCUGCGCCUCUCCUUCUUUCCUUCCUUUCUUCCUCUUUCUUUUUCGUUCUCAUGCCGACAGGAACGUCCCCGCCCCUCCCCUCGACCCAAGCCCCAGCGCGCAGAUGAAAGUGAUCGUAAGAGGAGGAUAGAAGGAUGCGCUCAAACCACAUGCAACGGUGUGCGCCUCUUCAGGGACAUGUCUGCACUCACGUCCAUACGCACAUGCGCAGGCACAGACCACCACCAUCACAAGC
RNAcentral lists this unclassified non-coding RNA (1155 nucleotides) under Leishmania donovani. RNAcentral's name for it is "gene:LdHU3.24.2040(CDS-product:hypothetical_prote in_conserved)". The record is from RNAcentral. Lineage: Eukaryota; Euglenozoa; Kinetoplastea; Trypanosomatida; Trypanosomatidae.